RNAcentral lists this transfer RNA (76 nucleotides) under Chlorobiota bacterium. Its description in RNAcentral is "Chlorobi bacterium (hot springs metagenome) tRNA-Met". It matches the Rfam family "tRNA". Rfam says of the family: Transfer RNA (tRNA) molecules are approximately 80 nucleotides in length. Lineage: Bacteria; Pseudomonadati; Chlorobiota. The record is from RNAcentral.
CGCGGGGUGGAGCAAUUGGUAGCUCGCCAGGCUCAUAACCUGGAGGUUGCAGGUUCAAGUCCUGCCCCCGCUACGA